GACGAACGCUGGCGGCGUGCCUAAUACAUGCAAGUAGAACGCACAGUUUAUACCGUAGCUUGCUACACCAUAGACUGUGAGUUGCGAACGGGUGAGUAACGCGUAGGUAACCUGCCUGGUAGCGGGGGAUAACUAUUGGAAACGAUAGCUAAUACCGCAUAAUAUUAAUUAUUGCAUGAUAAUUAAUUGAAAGGUGCAAUUGCACCACUACCAGAUGGACCUGCGUUGUAUUAGCUAGUAGGUGAGGUAACGGCUCACCUAGGCGACGAUACAUAGCCGACCUGAGAGGGUGAUCGGCCACACUGGGACUGAGACACGGCCCAGACUCCUACGGGAGGCAGCAGUAGGGAAUCUUCGGCAAUGGACGAAAGUCUGACCGAGCAACGCCGCGUGAGUGAAGAAGGGUUUCGGAUCGUAAAGCUCUGUUGUAAGAGAAGAACGGGUGUGAGAGUGGAAAGUUCACACUGUGACGGUAGCUGACCAGAAAGGGACGGCUAACUACGUG
Molecule: ribosomal RNA, 505 nt
Filed under: uncultured bacterium
Lineage: Bacteria
Description: partial 16S ribosomal RNA
Rfam family: Bacterial small subunit ribosomal RNA
Source: RNAcentral